CCCUCCGAGCCACAAGGCCCUCCCUCCCAGCAGCAAAAGCAGUCAGAGUACAAUGUUCCCUAGUCUGAUCUGCUCUUACCUUCCUUCAUUCAUUCAAUCAUUCACUCAGCUGACCAGCAGACACUGGAUGACCACCCCAGGGCCAGGCCUUGUGGCAAAUGCUAGAGUAAUGAUCAGACACAUCACACCUGCUUUCUAGAAGGCCUCCCUCACAAACCAGAUCAACUGCUAUGAUAAAAGUAAGACAAGGAACAGUGUUGCAGAAGGCAGGAACAAACAACUACAGCAGAGUGGUCAGAGAAGGCUACACAGAGUUGAUUGCACUGGACAUCAGAGAUUGAGGAAGAAUGUUCUUGGAAGACAAGACAGGUUCAAUGCUUGGAGGGGUGAGAGGAGGCAGCCAUCUUAUAACCACAGGUGACAGGAAGACACUAAACACGGCCGUGCGGAAAGACAGAAGGCGCCUCCAUCCCUCAGCACCACAGAGACAUCGUAUCAGCCUAGAAAUGCCUAAAUCUGAACUUCCUCUUACCUAAGAAAAAUAAAACCUCAAUUUGAUUCAGUCACUGUU
Non-coding RNA from Macaca mulatta (Rhesus monkey), 571 nucleotides. Lineage: Eukaryota; Metazoa; Chordata; Mammalia; Primates; Cercopithecidae. The record is from RefSeq and is a predicted model, not a curated record.